Molecule: ribosomal RNA, 546 nt
Filed under: Myotis ater
Lineage: Eukaryota; Metazoa; Chordata; Mammalia; Chiroptera; Vespertilionidae
Description: partial 16S ribosomal RNA
Rfam family: Bacterial large subunit ribosomal RNA
Source: RNAcentral
GCAUAAAAAGUAUUAGAGGCACUGCCUGCCCAGUGACUUUAGUUUAACGGCCGCGGUAUCCUGACCGUGCAAAGGUAGCAUAAUCACUUGUUCUCUAAAUAAGGACUUGUAUGAACGGCUUAACGAGGGUUUUACUGUCUCUUACUUUCAAUCAGUGAAAUUGAUAUUCCCGUGAAGAGGCGUGAAUAAAAAAAUAAGACGAGAAGACCCUAUGGAGCUUCAAUUAAUCAACUUAUAAGUUACAAUAAUAUUCUAUUAGAAAUUAAAUUUUAUUUAGUUAAGUUGACAAUUUAGGUUGGGGUGACCUCGGAAUAAAAAUCAACUCCCGAGAAAUUUCAAUCGAGACAAACAAGUCAAAUCUAUUCUAUUAUAUAUUGAUCCGUUAAUUUUAAACGACCAACGAAACAAGUUACCCUAGGGAUAACAGCGCAAUCCUAUUUAAGAGUCCAUAUCGACAAUUAGGGUUUACGACCUCGAUGUUGGAUCAGGACAUCCCAAUGGUGCAGCCGCUAUUAACGUGUUCGUUUGUUCAACGAUUAAAGUCCU